UAUUACAUUACACAAUAACGUUACUUCGGUCUCUGAAGCCCAACUUGUCCCUUACAAUAAUUACUAUACCAUUCCUUUUUCUCGUCUGUGUCUAACAUUUUCUGAGUAACACCCUUUCUUGUUUACCCUUCCUAAGUCGUGAUGUGUUCGAUUGUAAUGUAAAGGUUUUCGGUGUAAUCAAAUCAGCCGCAACUGGUACAAGUGAGCUAAUCAGAAUAUCGAUCAGACGCAGCACCUGCAAUUUCCUGCCAGUUUCGCGUGUCCUGGAAGUGUUACAUUUCGAGGUGAUUGCAAAAACAGUACAUACAGAUUACCCUGGACGAGUUCGUAGCACCCUUUUCAGCGCAUUUAUUUAGCGAGUUGGUACUAAUGCUUUACGCCGUGCACGUUAUUCAGAAAUGAUAAAUGACAAAGGAUCUUGGAAUCUAGCAAAUGUUAUUUUGUUUGCUUUGCGCAGCCUGUACGAGCUGCUAGAAUGGCUCGUACGACCAUUUGGAAUUUUAGCUUCUAUACUAAAGAAUCUAAUAUAUAGAUAAACAGUGCAAUUUUCGUAACUUCGAAAGUUGAGCAAACAGAUUAAACAUGCUAACCGUUCGAUAUUUCUCGUCGAUAUCUGUAUUUAUACGGUAAAACCUUGUAAGCAAAAGUUAACACUUUAAUGAACGAUAGUCUAGCACAAGGCGGCAUUUGUAGAUGAAAAGAAUAGAGUAAAAAAAGAUCAAUAAUUCACUUCCGACCAAUUUAACUUUGUCACUAGACAAAGCCCUAUUCUAAAUAGUAAAUGUUUACGUCAGUUACUGCCUUAGACAUCUCUUAAACAUGUCGACGAAGGCACUGGUAAUGAAGCUAUUUUUUAAUAGAAUUAUUGUUGAGCACUGCGCACCUCUGGUAACUGAUGCAUCGACCCAGUGUUAUGGAUAGACGACGUAACAAAGUCGUUGUAAUUUGCGUUGAUUCGAACCUUGGAAGGUCAUCGUCGUAACGAUACGAAAUUGUCUUCUUGGGUUUUACCAACCGAAGGCGGUUUACGUAUCUCCGAUGUAAUAAAACUAGGUGGCGACAAUCACCUACAGUCGACGGCGGACCGACAUGUUAUAGUUAUGCUUCACGCAGGAUUGACUAAUAUCAUGUAUUUUCGCUGAAAUCAACUUGCCGUUCAUUAUCUCUGUGACCAGGUUGAAAAUUUCACUUAUUUGCGCCGAGAUAUGGGUGCUUACCUAAAAGUCUAUUUUUUCCAAGUUGUCAUGAAUACGUCUUGAAGCACUUUUCUACGAAAUUACAUGAAGACGACUGAUGGAUCGUUGCAGGCGCUGUUUCAAAAAGGAUUCAAUGUUUCUGUGGGUGACAGUUCGUAAAAGCGAUACAAAAUCUAAUGUCAUUCACUUCAAUCACCAUGUUUUACCACGAUCAGUGCAGCUACUGGGCUGCUCUUAGCGGAAACCUUCGGUCAACGAAAGGUCGAAGAGGGUAAAACGGCUAUCAGGUAAGAAAGGUAGAACGCCAAAGAUAAACGACGAGGAAAAGAAUGCCACAGUAGCAUAGUGGCAGAACGAGUGAGCAGCUAUCCCAAGGAGCGGUUCGGGCCCAUAUGUCAAAAGCCAGACCAGCAGCAAAAAUAAAGGCGGCAGCGAAAGGGACUCGCGGUUACGACCCCAGCGGUAGCGCCACUCCGGAUGUGUCAGAAGGCGACAUAAAGCGAUUCAUACAUUUCGUAUGCGGCUGGGGAUCACCUUGACCAUGGAUGCAGAAGUCGUGGGAGAGAAACGAUGGCCGGGAAGACUGAGGAGAGCCAAACUUGGUACGGAGCAGGCAAACAAUGUCGCUACAAAUCCAAGUUCGCAGGCUGUUCGGAGAAAAACAUCGAGAGAGUAACUCUGGCCAGCUAAUUCGGUUGUUGAAAUCAUAACCUACCCGGUCAAGUUUGACGCUGAAGCCAUUACCAGGAAAGGCGGAAUAAUCCUCAAUUUUGUAUUCAUAUCAGUUCCUGUAUUAUUGACAAUUCGUCUGUGAUUGACUCAUCCGUUCACUGCACUUACUACAGCGUUUCAUUUGAAGUAGUCGCCGAACUAGUGGAGCCUUCUGAGGUCAAACAGUGCCUAAAUUUCCUCGAGAACUUAAAGAACUUCCAACCAAAUGUAGUUAAAUCCUGAAAGGAAUUCCCCUGUCUUCCCUAAAAACAUUGUAUACCCUCUUAUCGAGCCCCUAUGCAUAAUAAUGACGCGAACCUGCAAGAAGCGACUUGUUUUCAAUUUUUCAAUGUUCCAAUAGUUACAUCAGUCCAUGAAGAAAAUGUAAACCUGAACGGAAAAAUAUUAUCCAGCAGGUCAAGGGUCAAUAGCCUGCUUAGUUUAAGAAAAAACGGUAAUUGACUAUAUUGUUGUUUACUUAGCUUCAAGACUGCCUCCUGGCGCUCAUCAACGUGGAUUUGCCAAGGACAGAUUUACGAUCACAGGGCUUCGUACAAUGACCCAAGAUUGGGAAUUAUUUUAAAGCCACCAGAUAAAAUUUGACGGCAUCUACUUUAACUUUUCUAAGGUUUUUGGCCAAGUUAAUUAAGAGUUAUUACUUGUAAAGCUUAUUAAAACGGAGAAGCAGAUCCCUGCCCCAUACAAUCGAUUGGAAGCUAUCUGACAAAUCAAAUUUUUCAUGUUAAUAUUAAUUGCAUUCACAAAUUUCAGAGGAGUAUGCCUCUUGGAUGGACCUCAAGGUUUUUACACGGGCUUUAUGCUUAUGGUUUGAAACUCGAAUAGGUGGCCUUUUUACUAGAGCUGGCGCGCUUGUUACUUCAGUCGACAGUCGAUGUCGUAUCUGCGUGUGACGCACCAGUGGUACGAUCAUCUCUACCAAAAGUGCAUGCUCUCGUAAGCAAACUAACAAACACACUUUCAAGUGUGUGAUCAUUCCUCUAAUGAGAUCGGUAAAAUACAAUGACAUAGGAACUUAACUUUAGCGUUCAUCACCGUUAGUCUUAUUUUUUUUAGACACUCUGCAAUAGGAAGCUGCAUAUUUAAUAUUAAUAUUCGAACAGUCACAUAAUUCCCAAAUUUCUAUAUCAUUUCGCUGUUUAAAAUUUUCAUAUAAAAUAUAUUGACACCAUUAAAUGAAUGCGGAAUCGGUCUGUUCGUUGAGCUACCUUCAGAUACGGCAUAAAUUUAAGAAGUCUUUGAGUUUCGUGCUACUUGUUAGUAUGUUUCGAGUUUUACGACCGGUAUCGCCAUUUGUCAUUUUAUUAGAUGGCUGACCCCCAGACAUGAAAUGAGGUCAGUCUAUGACCGGCUUUCGGACUUCGAUCACCAAGUAUUCCUAAAAUUAGCAAACAAAUACGUUAUCCACUAAGCUAUCACGGGACUAUCGUCUACCAAACACCUACUUUGCCAACAAAACCGACGGGAGGAUCGAUGUAGACAUUUCUACCACCGUAGUUGAUGUCACCAACAUCCUUUAGAGCAGUGGGAUUUGUUAGUGCACGGUUCAUUUUUUCAACUAUUUACCCGACAGCUUUCUGCUGACGUUGCCAGCCUCGAAAAACUGGUUUAUACGGCUGUUCUCGGAAGGGUCAGCCAGUUUGGAGUGCCACGAGGGAGCUGCUGUAAAGGAAUGUACGAAGUGGAGAUACGGAACGCAAAUUUCUAACUUUGUUAUUAUACGUUGGAUGUCGAAAACGUGUUCUAUCGAGCUAGCUUCUUAUUUUCUGUAUUAGAGUUUUGUUUCUUGCUUUCCCUGGCUUUCUCGCUUGACUACAGGCAUGGAGAGUGACCGGCCAAUAGGCACUGCACAAAAGGAAAAAUAGCCGAAAUAGAAAUUCGAAUUACGGAGUGGCGGUAACCCGGAGAGGGUCCAGUUUGCGACUGGUAAGACACAUACCAUCGGUUACCGCAAUCGCAUUGCUUUGCUAUUUUAAGACGUUUUUUGAAUUUCUCCUUUUUCGUACGCACUUCUACGCGAAGACAACACUGAAGCCCACCCGCGAUUUCAGCUUUCUUCGAGGUUUCUACAUGCUAUCACAUAUGUCUCGCCUGCUCAGAUUCGCACUAGAAUUGAAAAUAGAUAUAGAAACUACAUAAAAUACAGAGCGCGCAUUGAAGAGGAACCAUAUACAUCGAACAUGUUAAUCACAACGCACUACGCACAGGCAAAAGAAGAUUCAAACAGCUGACGAUAGCUUACGGAGCGACGAGCUAGUAACUAAGGAAAAAUAAACGUGGAACUUGUAUCAAAGAUAAUCGUCUGUUAGAAAGUUAAGAAAGAAAAGUAACUAUUUUCAAACUGUAUAGCAUAGUCUCGGUAACAAUAUCUGUCUCAUUUCACUGGAUCCCCCUUGUCAAAGCCGGCUCUGUACUCGUUGUACAAAGUAAAUCGAGGAUUUUUCUGAACCUAAGCGGUACGGUUACCCCGAGUAGAUAUCGGCUACGCUAUCCACACAGUUGUACGCACCGGUUAAACGCUCGUCAGAUCAUUCUGAUCUCAGAAACAGCUCGCAUCGAUGCUACGUCGCGCGUCGUCGUAGCGAACCGAUGUUUUACUAGAGGAAACAGUGCAUGGGCUGUUUGUGUCGGAAAUAAUAGACUAGUAGUUAGAUUUAAUAAUAGGGUUAAACUAUUUCUGUCACGUAAUUGGAUUGGUACUUCGUGCGUUCAUGUCUGACCUGUACCACUCUUGUCAACGUAAAAGUUGUAACUAAUCUUGCCAGCAGGACCAUUUGCCGACAAACCCUCUGGCGACCACCUUGAAAGCGUUUAUCAAAAAAAAUGAGACACAGAUAAAUAUAACAUGUAAAGCCUGAAUAGGUAACGCCAACAAGAAAUUAACUGAUACCACCACUCUGCGUAUAAGCAUUUUAAUUAGGCAAAAAGCACUGUCUAAUAGAGUUGAGCGGACAUUCAACAUAUACAAACGCAUGAAGACUAAGACUAGUCGGUGUUGAAUGAAUCUUGCUCUAAUGUUAUAACCUCGUAUGGUCUCGAUUGUAAUAGGUCUCUAUAUAAGGGUUCAGGAACCAGCGAAGUAAUGAACGAGCAGAACUAAUGGUGACUAUUUACAUUGUUGAGGCAUACUCAAAGGCUGCCUAGGCCUAUGCCCAUAAGCAUCAAUUAAUCCACUGAACUUUGUUUAUCCUAGUGGUAUACCCUGAAACGGCUUUCAACUCCUAGGGAAGAUUAGUUUGCAAUGGAGAGAUACGAAUAUGUCACACUCGCCUCAUCAGAGAAUUAUAGGUCUCUUACGUUUUAACCGGAAUUCAAUAUUGUUUUGUUAGUUAGUAUCUUUCUGUUUACCUCCAACCACUGUGAUUAAUCAGCAUAGGCCAACGCAUAUAUAUCCAUUCAUGGACUUAUGACAACUGAAGCAGAUUUGUUCAGCCCAUUAUAAGCACAAAGUGAAUUUUUAGCUGAUAUAUGUAUGUAUAUGUAAGAGACACACCUCAUCGACACGUGUGGCCUUCACAAGACAGGCUUAACGAGCUAUGUCCAUGACUGCGGUCACGUAUUAAGUCAUAUGGUCUUUUAAGAGCCUACGUGUAGUUCUCGGAGAAGGCAAUUUUAGAAGACUUAACCUUUGUAUUUUACGUCCGGUAUCGCGGUGAAGCAUUUCAUUUUGGAUGCUAGCAUAACUCUAUUAUCAUGACAAUGUACCUGUAGACAAAUCAAAUCAUACGGUGUCCCCUAUAGAACAUGACCUAUCUUUUAUGUACGAAAUAGCACAUACUUCCCUUUCCCCCAUUUAAACAUGUAUCUACUUAACUAAGACAUGUCUAACUAGAAGAUAAAACCAGCAGAAUUAUCUUUUUGCACAAAAAAAAUGUAUAAAAGAACCAAGUGUGGUUUUUACUAUGAUUCGAUUUCUCACUGCGCCAGGCUACGUUAGGAAAUCUUAUCCAAGAUCGGCAUACGCAAUAAAAACAUGUCUAUAGGUAUUGGGGGGCAUGUCAGUAUGUUUGUGUCAGUUUACGUCAAGUACUUGUGUUGGAAGCAAAGAGCUUAUUCGUGUUAAACAUUAGCUGG
This is a long non-coding RNA of Varroa destructor (honeybee mite), 5999 nucleotides long. The record is from RefSeq and is a predicted model, not a curated record. NCBI's taxonomy places the organism in Eukaryota, Metazoa, Arthropoda, Arachnida, Mesostigmata, Varroidae.